UGCCUACGGGAGGCAGCAGUGGGGGAUAUUGGACAAUGGGGGGAACCCUGAUCCAGCGACGCCGCGUGAGUGAAGAAGUAUUUCGGUAUGUAAAGCUCUGUCAGCAGGGAAGAAAGCAAUGACGGUACCUGACCAAGAAGCCCCGGCUAACUACGUGCCAGCAGCCGCGGUAAUACGUAGGGGGCAAGCGUUAUCCGGAUUUACUGGGUGUAAAGGGAGCGUAGGUGGCAAGGCAAGUCAGAUGUGAAAACCCGGGGCCCAACCCCGGGAGUGCAUUUGAAACUGUCUGGCUAGAGUGCAGGAGG
This 305-nucleotide ribosomal RNA is filed under the name uncultured bacterium. Its description in RNAcentral is "bacterial SSU rRNA". It matches the Rfam family "Bacterial small subunit ribosomal RNA", at positions 335 to 655 of the family's 1533-position model. The record is from RNAcentral.